This 312-nucleotide ribosomal RNA is filed under the name Triticum aestivum (bread wheat). RNAcentral describes it as "partial small subunit ribosomal RNA". Lineage: Eukaryota; Viridiplantae; Streptophyta; Magnoliopsida; Poales; Poaceae. The record is from RNAcentral.
AUGCAGGAGCGCCUCGACGUAUACGUCGUCGAAGAUGCGGCCGAGGAAGAUGAUGUACCGGCUCCUGCAUAUGAUGUCGUCGUGCUCAUUGCCCAGGCCGAGGAGGUCCUGCGUGCGACGCAACAACAACUCGACCAGGCGGUGCUAGCCGCGUCUCUGUCGACGAUGCAUGCAGCCAAGCGCCGGGCAGCUGAAGAAGAGGCUGCAACUCGAGAGCGGAGGAGGGCGGCUACUUUGCGUGUAGCGGUCACCGUCGAGGCGGAAGGUGUGGGACCUGACAUCGUCAUCCUAUCCUCCUCUGACGAAGACUAA